GCCUAGCUGGCUCAGUGGUAGAGCAUGUGACUUUUUAUCUCAGGGUAGUGAGUUCAAGCCUCAGUUGGUCA
Molecule: transfer RNA, 71 nt
Filed under: Canis lupus familiaris (dog)
Lineage: Eukaryota; Metazoa; Chordata; Mammalia; Carnivora; Canidae
Also listed under: 1 other name
Rfam family: tRNA
About the family: Transfer RNA (tRNA) molecules are approximately 80 nucleotides in length. Their secondary structure includes four short double-helical elements and three loops (D, anti-codon, and T loops).
Source: Rfam by way of RNAcentral